Pelobates cultripes (western spadefoot toad) is the source of this 346-nucleotide non-coding RNA. The record is from the annotation of a GenBank genome assembly. NCBI's taxonomy places the organism in Eukaryota, Metazoa, Chordata, Amphibia, Anura, Pelobatidae.
CAAACAUUGAAAUCAACAGAUUUGCCUAAAUUUUAAAUUGACAGACAGAUAUUCACAAACAGACUGACAGAUUUUCUGAAAAUUUUAACUAGACAGAUUGAUUGACUGACAGAUAGAUUUCCCAAUACAUUUAAACUCACAGACAGAUUCCCCCAUACAUUUACAGUUAGAGACAGGAGACAGAUUUCCCCAGACAGAAACAUUUCCCCAAACAUUGAAAUUGACAGACAGAUUUCCCUGUAUUAUAAAAUGACAGACAGACAGAUAUUCCCAAAUAGUUAGACUGAUAGAUUGUCCAAAACAUUUAACUAGACAGAUUGACUGACGGAUACAUUUUCCAUUAAAU